RNAcentral lists this ribosomal RNA (1394 nucleotides) under uncultured bacterium. Its description in RNAcentral is "16S ribosomal RNA". It matches the Rfam family "Bacterial small subunit ribosomal RNA". The record is from RNAcentral.
UCCUGGCUCAGGAUGAACGCUAGCUACAGGCUUAACACAUGCAAGUCGAGGGGCAGCAUGAUCUUAGCUUGCUAAGAUUGAUGGCGACCGGCGCACGGGUGAGUAACACGUAUCCAACCUGCCGUCUACUUGGGGAUAGCCUUCUGAAAGGAAGAUUAAUACCCGAUGCGAUCUGUCGGCCGCAUGGCUGAUGGAUGAAAGAUUGAUUGGUAGACGAUGGGGAUGCGUUCCAUUAGGUUGUUGGCGGGGUAACGGCCCACCAAGCCGACGAUGGAUAGGGGUUCUGAGAGGAAGGUCCCCCACAUUGGAACUGAGACACGGUCCAAACUCCUACGGGAGGCAGCAGUGAGGAAUAUUGGUCAAUGGACGAGAGUCUGAACCAGCCAAGUAGCGUGAAGGAUGACUGCCCUAUGGGUUGUAAACUUCUUUUAUACGGGAAUAAAGUGCACCACGUGUGGUGUUUUGUAUGUACCGUUAUGAAUAAGCAUCGGCUAACUCCGUGCCAGCAGCCGCGGUAAUACGGAGGAUGCGAGCGUUAUCCGGAUUUAUUGGGUUUAAAGGGUGCGCAGGCGGAAGAUUAAGCCGGCGGUAAAAAUUCCGGGCUCAACCCGGUCGAGCCGUCGGAACUGGUUUUCUAGAGUGGGCGAGAAGUAUGCGGAAUGCGUGGUGUAGCGGUGAAAUGCAUAGAUAUCACGCAGAACGCCGAUUGCGAAGGCAGCAUACCGGCGCCCUACUGACGCUGAGGCACGAAAGCGUGGGGAUCGAACAGGAUGAGAUACCCUGGUAGUCCACGCAGUAAACGAUGAGCGCUAACUGUCCGGGCAAAAAUGAUGCCUGGGUGGUACAGUGAAAACGUUAAGCGCUCCACCUGGGGAGUACGCCGGCAACGGUGAAACUCAAAGGAAUUGACGGGGGCCCGCACAAGCGGAGGAACAUGUGGUUUAAUUCGAUGAUACGCGAGGAACCUUACCCGGGCUCAAACGUAGGAUGCAUGUCUUUGAAAGGAGGCAGUUCCUUGGAACAUCCUGCGAGGUGCUGCAUGGUUGUCGCCAGCUCGUGCCGUGAGGUGUCGGCUUAAGUGCCAUAACGAGCGCAACCCCCAUCGCCAGUUGCUAACAGGUAAUGCUGAGGACUCUGGCGAGACUGCCGGCGCAAGCUGCGAGGAAGGCGGGGAUGACGUCAAAUCAGCACGGCCCUUACGUCCGGGGCGACACACGUGUUACAAUGGCAGGUACAGAGAGAAGCCAUCCCGCGAGGGAGAGCGGAACUUCAAAGCCUGUCUCAGUUCGGAUUGGAGUCUGCAACCCGACUCCAUGAAGCUGGAUUCGCUAGUAAUCGCGCAUCAGCCACGGCGCGGUGAAUACGUAAGGGGGCCUUGUACACACCGCCCGUCA